CCCUUAGAUGUUCUGGGCCGCACGCGCGCUACACUGAUGCAUUCAACGAGCCUAUCCUUGCCCGACAGGCCCGGGUAAUCUUUGAAUCUGCAUCGUGACGGGGAUAGAUUAUUGCAAUUAUUAAUCUUCAACGAGGAAUGCCUAGUGGGCGCAAGUCAUCAGCUUGCGUCGAUUACGUCCCUGCCCUUUGUACACACCGCCCGUCGCUCCUACCGAUUGGGUGUGCUGGUGAAAUGUUCGGAUCGGCCGUUUGUCGCGGUUUCCGCGUCAUGUGGCUGAGAAGUUCAUUAAACCCUCCCACCUAGAGGAAGGAGAAGUCGUAACA
RNAcentral lists this ribosomal RNA (325 nucleotides) under uncultured eukaryote. RNAcentral's name for it is "partial 18S ribosomal RNA". It matches the Rfam family "Eukaryotic small subunit ribosomal RNA", at positions 1470 to 1796 of the family's 1831-position model. The record is from RNAcentral.